Molecule: ribosomal RNA, 894 nt
Filed under: uncultured bacterium
Lineage: Bacteria
Description: bacterial SSU rRNA
Rfam family: Bacterial small subunit ribosomal RNA
Source: RNAcentral
AGAGUUUGAUCCUGGCUCAGGACGAACGCUGGCGGCGUGCCUAACACAUGCAAGUCGAACGGGGUUAGCCCUUUCGGGACUAACUUAGUGGCGAACGGGUGAGUAACGCGUGAAGAACCUGCCUUUCAGUGGGGGACAACAGUUGGAAACGACUGCUAAUACCGCAUGACACUUCUUGGGGGCAUCCCUGAGAAGUCAAAGCUUUAUGUGCUGAAAGAUGGCUUCGCGUCUGAUUAGCUAGUUGGCGGGGUAACGGCCCACCAAGGCGACGAUCAGUAGCCGGUCUGAGAGGAUGAACGGCCACAUUGGGACUGAGAUACGGCCCAGACUCCUACGGGAGGCAGCAGUGGGGAAUAUUGGGCAAUGGGGGAAACCCUGACCCAGCAACGCCGCGUGAAGGAAGAAGGCCCUCGGGUUGUAAACUUCUUUUACCAGGGACGAAGGACGUGACGGUACCUGGAGAAAAAGCAACGGCUAACUACGUGCCAGCAGCCGCGGUAAUACGUAGGUUGCAAGCGUUGUCCGGAUUUACUGGGUGUAAAGGGCGUGUAGGCGGAGGAGCAAGUCAGAUGUGAAAUCCAUGGGCUUAACUCAUGAACUGCAUUUGAAACUGUUCCCCUUGAGUAUCGGAGAGGCAAGCGGAAUUCCUAGUGUAGCGGUGAAAUGCGUAGAUAUUAGGAGGAACACCAGUGGCGAAGGCGGCUUGCUGGACGACAACUGACGCUGAGGCGCGAAAGCGUGGGGAGCAAACAGGAUUAGAUACCCUGGUAGUCCACGCUGUAAACGAUGAAUACUAGGUGUGGGAGGACUGGCCCCUUCCGUGCCGCAGUUAACACAAUAAGUAUUCCACCUGGGGAGUACGACCGCAAGGUUGAAACUCAAAGGAAUUGACGG